RNAcentral lists this ribosomal RNA (439 nucleotides) under uncultured bacterium. RNAcentral's name for it is "partial 16S ribosomal RNA". It matches the Rfam family "Bacterial small subunit ribosomal RNA", at positions 339 to 795 of the family's 1533-position model. The record is from RNAcentral.
CUAGGGUGGCAGCAGUGGGGAAUAUUGCACAAUGGGGGAAACCCUGAUGCAGCGACGCCGCGUGAGCGAGGAAGUAUUUCGGUAUGUAAAGCUCUAUCAGCAGGGACGAAAAAAGACGGUACCUGACUAAGAAGCCCCGGCUAACUACGUGCCAGCAGCCGCGGUAAUACGUAGGGGGCAAGCGUUAUCCGGAUUUACUGGGUGUAAAGGGAGCGUAGACGGCAGCGCAAGUCUGAAGUGAAAUGCCGGGGCUUAACCCCGGAACUGCUUUGGAAACGGUGCAGCUAGAGUGCAGGAGAGGUAAGUGGAAUUCCUAGUGUAGCGGUGAAAUGCGUAGAUAUUAGGAGGAACACCAGUGGCGAAGGCGGCUUACUGGACUGUAACUGACGUUGAGGCUCGAAAGCGUGGGGAGCAAACAGGAUUAGAUACCCUUGUAGUC